Non-coding RNA from Triticum aestivum (bread wheat), 125 nucleotides. NCBI's taxonomy places the organism in Eukaryota, Viridiplantae, Streptophyta, Magnoliopsida, Poales, Poaceae. The record is from Rfam.
GACUUACUCCCUCGUCCGAAAAAUCUUGUCCUUCAAAUGUAUGUAUCUAGCACCAAAUUAAUGCUAGAUACAUCCAUUCGAGGGACAAGUUUGAGACAAGUUUUUUCGGACGGAGGAAGUAUCUU